RNAcentral lists this small nuclear RNA (296 nucleotides) under Heterocephalus glaber (naked mole-rat). RNAcentral describes it as "7SK RNA". It matches the Rfam family "7SK RNA", at positions 1 to 253 of the family's 331-position model. From Rfam's summary of the family: 7SK was discovered as an abundant small nuclear RNA in the mid-70s but a possible function has only recently been suggested. Two independent studies have found that 7SK RNA binds the CDK9/cyclin T complex (known as elongation factor P-TEFb). Lineage: Eukaryota; Metazoa; Chordata; Mammalia; Rodentia; Bathyergidae. The record is from Rfam by way of RNAcentral.
GGAUGUGAGGGCUGUCUGGCUGUGACAUCUGUCACCCCAGAUUGCCAGUGUUGAUCCAGCUGAUCUGGCUGGCUAGGCUAGUGUCUCCUUCCUCCCUCACUGUUCCAUGUUUGUCCCUCCCAUAGCCAUGCUCUUUGUUGAAGAGGUUGACCACCCUUGAUAGAGGAGGACUGUUUCCUUGGUCAUGGGUAUACAAGUAGCUUCACUCCCCUGCUAGAACCUCCAAACAAGCUCUCUAGAUGGCAACUCAAUGAGGCAGUUACCAAUGAUGAGACAGAGUUCUGUGGUCUUAAUGG